CAGCAGCCGCGGGAAUACAGAGGGUGCGAGCGUUAAUCGGAUUUACUGGGCGUAAAGCGUGCGUAGGCGGCUUUUUAAGUCGGAUGUGAAAUCCCUGAGCUUAACUUAGGAAUUGCAUUCGAUACUGGGAAGCUAGAGUAUGGGAGAGGAUGGUAGAAUUCCAGGUGUAGCGGUGAAAUGCGUAGAGAUCUGGAGGAAUACCGAUGGCGAAGGCAGCCAUCUGGCCUAAUACUGACGCUGAGGUACGAAAGCAUGGGGAGCAAACAGGAUUAGAUACCCCGGUAGUCCCUGUCUCUUAUAA
This 301-nucleotide ribosomal RNA is filed under the name uncultured bacterium. RNAcentral's name for it is "partial 16S ribosomal RNA". It matches the Rfam family "Bacterial small subunit ribosomal RNA", at positions 509 to 809 of the family's 1533-position model. The record is from RNAcentral.